GUGUGGGCCCCGCUUUCCCCCAGCGCUGGAGACUCCGAGCCCGGCCGGUCCCACAUUCCACGCGAGCUGAAUUCCCGCCCGCAUCCCGCCCGGGCAGCAGGGAUUGCCGGCUCCGGGAGGCGCUCGGGCUCCGAGAAGCGGCUCAGCCCCGCGCCCCUCCCUCCUCAGUACCGCUGCCGGCGGACCAGGAUUCCCGCGGGUCCUGGCGGCUGCGAGCGCGAGGCGGCGCGGAUUCGCGGCUCGGUUCCGGCGCGACUGCUCACCGCGCCCGCCUCGCCUCCCGCGGCUGCCAGCGUGCACUGGGCGCUCCUCGGCGCGUCUGCCCGGCCCGUCUCGGCUUUCCUUCUCCUUCCUCUAGUCCCAGCGUCACAACUCCGCCGACCUCCUCUGCCCUGAGAGCGCGUCCGGUGCGGGCGGAGUCGGACGGACUCUGGCUUCACGCCUCGCGCGGGCACACCUUCUCCCGGGCACUGAGGCCCAGGUGAGUACCGCGCGGGCAGCUGGGGCUGGGACGGCGGGCGGCAGCGGUUCUACAGUCCUACGCGAGCCCCUGGUACCCGGCCGCGCUCCGGGGUUCCAGAAGGAGAAGAUCUCGAGGUGGAGACUGUGGCUCCGGGGAAAACGCUGCUGGCAAGGGCGCUAGUUGGGGGUGGACGUUGGGCCCAGGGGUAUCUGACCUGCGCCGCUGCAGCCUUCUCGCUCCUUCUCCCAGCUUGAACGGCUCAUCGGCUGUGGUCGUGGUGGGAUCACGCCCCGGGAGAGGAGAAGGAUGGGCUCAGGGAAGGGGCUCGGGCUCUCCAGAAAUCCGGCGUGCAGGCCGGGAGCUGUCCAGCCUCGCUAAGAGCCCUGGGCUAGAGUUUGCCCGGACUUGCCUGGAGCUGCUGAAAAGGGAAUUGAGAUUGAGGAGGCCUUGUUGGAAAGGUGGGCAGUGGAAUUUAGCUACCUCCUCACGCCCCAGCCCUUGAGGACUCCCUGAAGGAUCUUGAGUGGAGUCGGACCUCACUGCAGUUCCUUUGUGCCUUCUUACCCGACCUUGGGCCCCAGG
RNAcentral lists this long non-coding RNA (1045 nucleotides) under Homo sapiens (human). RNAcentral's name for it is "non-protein coding lnc-UTP11-1:2". The record is from RNAcentral. Lineage: Eukaryota; Metazoa; Chordata; Mammalia; Primates; Hominidae.